Molecule: ribosomal RNA, 956 nt
Filed under: Russula sp.
Lineage: Eukaryota; Fungi; Basidiomycota; Agaricomycetes; Russulales; Russulaceae
Description: partial 28S large subunit ribosomal RNA
Rfam family: Eukaryotic large subunit ribosomal RNA
Source: RNAcentral
AAGCAUAUCAAUAAGCGGAGGAAAAGAAACUAACAAGGAUUCCCCUAGUAACUGCGAGUGAAGCGGGAAAAGCUCAAAUUUAAAAUCUGGUGGUCUUUUGGCCAUCCGAGUUGUAAUUUAGAGAAGCGUCUUCCGCGCUGGACCGUGCACAAGUCUCCUGGAAUGGAGCGUCAUAGAGGGUGAGAAUCCCGUCUUUGGCAUGGAUCCCAGGGCUUCUGUGAUGCGCUCUCAAAGAGUCGAGUUGUUUGGGAAUGCAGCUCAAAAUGGGUGGUGAACUCCAUCUAAAGCUAAAUAUUGGCGAGAGACCGAUAGCGAACAAGUACCGUGAGGGAAAGAUGAAAAGCACUUUGGAAAGAGAGUGAAACAGUACGUGAAAUUGUUGAAAGGGAAACGCUUGAAGUCAGUCGCGUCGACCGAGACUCAGCCUCGCCUUGGCUUGGUGUACUUCUCGGCUUGACGGGUCAGCAUCAAUUUUGAUCCUUGGAUAAUGGCAAGGGAAAGGUAGCACCUUUACAGGUGUGUUAUAGUCCUCUGUCGGAUGCAAGGGUCGGGAUUGAGGAACUCAGCACGCACCUUUAGGUGUCGGGGCCUUGGCCUACGUUACGUGCUUAGGAUGCUGGCGUAAUGGCUUUAAACGACCCGUCUUGAAACACGGACCAAGGAGUCUAACAUGCCCGCGAGUGUUCGGGUGGAAAACCCGUGCGCGUAAUGAAAGUAAAAGUUGGGACCUCUGUCGUGGAGGGCACCGACGCCCGGACCAGACCUUCUGUGACGGCUCUGCGGUAGAGCGUGUAUGUUGGGACCCGAAAGAUGGUGAACUAUGCCUGAAUAGGGUGAAGCCAGAGGAAACUCUGGUGGAGGCUCGUAGCGAUUCUGACGUGCAAAUCGAUCGUCAAAUUUGGGUAUAGGGGCGAAAGACUAAUCGAACCAUCUAGUAGCUGGUUCCUGGCGAAGUU